This 274-nucleotide ribosomal RNA is filed under the name uncultured bacterium. RNAcentral describes it as "partial 16S ribosomal RNA". It matches the Rfam family "Bacterial small subunit ribosomal RNA", at positions 523 to 796 of the family's 1533-position model. The record is from RNAcentral.
ACACGGGGGGCGCAAGCGUUAUUCGGAAUUAUUGGGCGUAAAGGGCGUGUAGGCGGUUUUAUCGGUCAGAUGUGAAAGCCCAGGGCUCAACCCUGGACGUGCAUUUGAAACAGUAAGACUUGAGUACGGUAGAGGAAAGCGGAAUUCCUGGUGUAGAGGUGAAAUUCGUAGAUAUCAGGAGGAACACCGAGGGCGAAGGCAGCUUUCUGGACCGAAACUGACGCUGAUGCGCGAAGGCGUGGGGAGCAAACAGGAUUAGAAACCCCAGUAGUCC